This 439-nucleotide ribosomal RNA is filed under the name uncultured bacterium. RNAcentral describes it as "partial 16S ribosomal RNA". It matches the Rfam family "Bacterial small subunit ribosomal RNA", at positions 339 to 795 of the family's 1533-position model. The record is from RNAcentral.
CUACGGGGGGCUCCAGUGGGGAAUAUUGCACAAUGGAGGAAACUCUGAUGCAGCAACGCCGCGUGGAGGAUGACACUUUUCGGAGCGUAAACUCCUUUUAUAUAGGAAGAAGAUGACGGUACUAUAUGAAUAAGCGUCGGCUAACUCCGUGCCAGCAGCCGCGGUAAUACGGAGGGCGCAAGCGUUACUCGGAAUCACUGGGCGUAAAGGGCGUGUAGGCGGAUUAAAAAGUCAGAAGUGAAAUCCUAUAGCUUAACUAUAGAACUGCUUCUGAAACUCUUAAUCUAGAAUAUGGGAGAGGUAGAUGGAAUUUCUGGUGUAGGGGUAAAAUCCGUAGAGAUCAGAAGGAAUACCGAUUGCGAAGGCGAUCUACUAGAACAUUAUUGACGCUGAGACGCGAAAGCGUGGGGAGCAAACAGGAUUAGAUACCCUAGUAGUC